Non-coding RNA from Phrynosoma platyrhinos (Desert horned lizard), 73 nucleotides. Lineage: Eukaryota; Metazoa; Chordata; Lepidosauria; Squamata; Phrynosomatidae. The record is from the annotation of a GenBank genome assembly.
AACCAGGUUAGCGUAGCGGUUUGGGAGAUGGACAUUGACUCUGGAGACCAGGGUUCGAUUCCCUGCUUGGCCA